This 78-nucleotide small RNA is filed under the name Flavobacterium circumlabens. RNAcentral's name for it is "Flavo-1 RNA". It matches the Rfam family "Flavo-1 RNA". Lineage: Bacteria; Pseudomonadati; Bacteroidota; Flavobacteriia; Flavobacteriales; Flavobacteriaceae. The record is from RNAcentral.
UUCCAGCCCCGAUAGGAGCGGCAUCCUUUUGUUUUUUUCUUUAAAAAGCAAAAGAUACAGCGGAUAGCGGGACUACAG